AGAGCGAACGCUGGCGGCAGGCCUAACACAUGCAAGUCGAGCGCCCGUAGCAAUACGGGAGCGGCAGACGGGAUAGUAACACGUGGGAACGCGCCCUUCGGUUCGGAAUAACUCAGGGAAACUUGAGCUAAUACCGGAUACGCCCUUACGGGGAAAGAUUUAUUGCCGAAGGAACGGCCCGCGUCCGAUUAGCUAGUUGGUGAGGUAAUGGCUCACCAAGGCGACGAUCGGUAGCUGGUCUGAGAGGAUGACCAGCAUCACUGGGACUGAGACACGGCCCAGACUCCUACGGGAGGCAGCAGUGGGGAAUAUUGGACAAUGGGCGCAAGCCUGAUCCAGCCAUGCCGCGUGGAUGAUGAAGGCCUUAGGGUUGUAAAGUCCGUUUUAACGGGGAAGAUAAUGACGGUACCCGUAGAAUAAGCCCGGCUAACUUCGCGCCAGCAGCCGC
Molecule: ribosomal RNA, 448 nt
Filed under: uncultured bacterium
Lineage: Bacteria
Description: SSU rRNA
Rfam family: Bacterial small subunit ribosomal RNA
Source: RNAcentral